Long non-coding RNA from Papaver somniferum (opium poppy), 1342 nucleotides. RefSeq lists it as uncharacterized. The transcript has 3 exons. Lineage: Eukaryota; Viridiplantae; Streptophyta; Magnoliopsida; Ranunculales; Papaveraceae. The record is from RefSeq and is a predicted model, not a curated record.
CUUCUUUCUUAUCUUUCUUCUUCUUCUGUUUCUUUCUUUCUCUAUUCUUCUCUGUGGAGAAUCUGUGAGUCAUGCAAGUGGAUUCAUUGAUAGGAAAUCGAUUGAUAAAGAUGUUUGAAUGAUAAAGGAGAUGAUAUGGUUGUCAAUUAUGAAGAAAAACGAUUAGGGUUUCUGAAAUUCAUUGAAGAUGUGAAUUGAGAUGAUUAAGAAGAAAUUAAUGGGUGGGUUUUUAUGAACUUGAAGUGAAGAGGAAGAUUAUGAUGCAAAUUUAAAGAUCCAGUUACUAAGAAGACGAAUUGGAAUCCAGUUCUCGAUUUACAGUGAAGAAAAGGUAAUUUAGGGUUUCGUUGUUUUGAUUUAGUCUUAUUUGAAAUUGGAUAAUAGUUGAUGAUUCUUAGAUGGGUCUGUUUAGAUUGAUGUUGAAUCAGUUAUAUGGAGUUUAUUUCAGUUCAAUUGCGAAUUUGAGAUUUACAGACGUUAGUAAUGAAGAUGAUGUUGUUAGAACCGGAGUUUGCAGAUGGUGAAUUCUCAGUAAGAACAUGUAUGAGUUUUAAAUCAGAAUGAGAUGUAAUGGAAUUGAAGUCUGUUGGUAUUGUGAAUGUAUGGUUUAGAUGAAUGUGUGUGUGUAAGAUUUCCAACUGAGCUACAAGUUGCUUUGAUGUUGUUAAAGUUACAAGGAAUUGUUGAAUAUUGAAUUGAGUUUAAGGCAGGUGGUAUGAUGUGCAGUAUGUCUUGCUCAACUAAUAAAGAGAAUUAGAUGAAUGAUAUAGGGUAGUGUGCGUAACUGUUGCAGAUUGAAGUUGUAUUAUGGCUCAUAUAUGCAUCUGUGGUUAUAUAGAGAAUGUCGAGUUAGUAUUGCAGCUGUGAGAGUUAUAUGAAUGGGUAAUAUGCUAGGGAUGACUGUUAAGGAUUCACAAUUGUGGUUGAAUGUGCUGAGUUGCGAAUAAGCUGAACUGGUGAUGAUUAUAAAGUUGCAGUUACUGUUAGCUGUAGAAGCUUGGAACUGCUGAAUUGCCGUUAGUUAUUAUCAAAGAUCGAUUCAAAGGAUGAACCAGUGGAUCGUGGAUCUUGAGGUAGGCGUGGCUUGUCAUCAAAAGAGUUUCAGAGACGGAUGUGAAUUUCGCAGUGAAAGCUUCGAGGAGUUGAGUCCGUUAGUUGGUUGACUUUUACUAUAUUUAUUAUAUUACAUGUUGUAUUUGUAAACCAAAUGACUAUUGUAUAUGUAUCAUUUGAGAGGAGUUCUUGUAUAUAUAUAUAUUUCUGAGUUUUACUAUCUUGCUACAGAUCGUUGAGUCUCACUAUGAUCAGGCAAGAUAGAUAAAAACCGCAAAGUUUCUUCGUC